Molecule: ribosomal RNA, 497 nt
Filed under: uncultured bacterium
Lineage: Bacteria
Description: partial 16S ribosomal RNA
Rfam family: Bacterial small subunit ribosomal RNA
Source: RNAcentral
GAUGAACGCUGGCGGCGUGCCUAAUACAUGCAAGUCGAGCGAACAGAUGAGGAGCUUGCUCCUCUGACGUUAGCGGCGGACGGGUGAGUAACACGUGGAUAACCUACCUAUAAGACUGGGAUAACUUCGGGAAACCGGAGCUAAUACCGGAUAAUAUAUUGAACCGCAUGGUUCAAUAGUCAAAGACGGUUUUGCUGUCACUUAUAGAUGGAUCCGCGCCGCAUUAGCUAGUUGGUAAGGUAACGGCUUACCAAGGCAACGAUGCGUAGCCGACCUGAGAGGGUGAUCGGCCACACUGGAACUGAGACACGGUCCAGACUCCUACGGGAGGCAGCAGUAGGGAAUCUUCCGCAAUGGGCGAAAGCCUGACGGAGCAACGCCGCGUGAGUGAUGAAGGUCUUCGGAUCGUAAAACUCUGUUAUUAGGGAAGAACAAAUGUGUAAGUAACUAUGCACGUCUUGACGGUACCUAAUCAGAAAGCCACGGCUAACUACGUG